Molecule: ribosomal RNA, 582 nt
Filed under: uncultured bacterium
Lineage: Bacteria
Description: bacterial SSU rRNA
Rfam family: Bacterial small subunit ribosomal RNA
Source: RNAcentral
ACGGGUGAGUAACACGUGGGCAACCUGCCCUUGAGACUGGGAUAACUUCGGGAAACCGGAGCUAAUACCGGAUAAUAUAAGGAACCUCCUGGUUCCUUGUUGAAAGAUGGUUUCGGCUAUCACUUAAGGAUGGGCCCGCGGCGCAUUAGCUAGUUGGUGAGGUAACGGCUCACCAAGGCGACGAUGCGUAGCCGACCUGAGAGGGUGAUCGGCCACACUGGGACUGAGACACGGCCCAGACUCCUACGGGAGGCAGCAGUAGGGAAUCUUCCACAAUGGACGAAAGUCUGAUGGAGCAACGCCGCGUGAGUGAUGAAGGCCUUCGGGUCGUAAAGCUCUGUUGUUAGGGAAGAACAAGUGCGAGAGUAACUGCUCGCACCUUGACGGUACCUAACCAGAAAGCCACGGCUAACUACGUGCCAGCAGCCGCGGUAAUACGUAGGUGGCAAGCGUUAUCCGGAAUUAUUGGGCGUAAAGCGCGCGCAGGUGGUUUCUUAAGUCUGAUGUGAAAGCCCACGGCUCAACCGUGGAGGGUCAUUGGAAACUGGCGAACUUGAGUGCAGAAGAGGAAAGUGGAAUUCC